Molecule: small nucleolar RNA, 150 nt
Filed under: Zostera marina
Lineage: Eukaryota; Viridiplantae; Streptophyta; Magnoliopsida; Alismatales; Zosteraceae
Description: Small nucleolar RNA snoR77
Rfam family: Small nucleolar RNA snoR77
Source: Rfam by way of RNAcentral
AGGCAGCCUCUUGUUUCUUAUUCAUUGAUCAUUGAGGUGUUUAUUUGCUCGUAAAUUGAUGUAAAAUGCUUUUGCUCUUCAGAUUUGCUGAGAAUGUGAAAUUCAGUUUUUUCAUUUCAUGAAGUUGGUCUAGUAAAACGAAAGUAUAUU